CAAAUUAUUCUUAGGGAAUAUUUCGUUUACAUUGAAAUGAUUGUUGUGCAAUUCAGCAUAAUUUGA
This 66-nucleotide transfer RNA is filed under the name Eucorydia linglong. RNAcentral describes it as "tRNA-Val". Lineage: Eukaryota; Metazoa; Arthropoda; Insecta; Blattodea; Corydiidae. The record is from RNAcentral.